AUGGCGUCCACGGCCGCGGGCCUCUACGGCCGGCUCAACAGGACCAGCACGCGCGCGUUCCUCGCCUACGUCGCCGCCGGGGGCGUCUGCGCCGCCGUCCUCGCCUGCUUCGUCGUCUCCUCCGCCGACCCCGCCGCCGCACCCAAUGGCGCGCCCCGCCUCUCCUCGCGCUCCGCGCGCGUCUGGCCCGAUCUCGAGUUCAACUGGCGGCUCGUGGUGGCCACCGUCGUCGGCUUCCUCGGCUCCGCGUUUGGCACCGUCGGCGGCGUGGGCGGCGGCGGCAUCUUCGUGCCCCUGCUCAACCUCGUCCUCGGCUUCGACACCAAGUCCGCCGCCGCGCUCUCCAAAUGCAUGAUCAUGGGGGCGUCCGCGUCGUCGGUCUGGUACAACCUGCAGGUGUCGCACCCGACCAAGGAGGCGCCGGUGCUCGACUACAAGCUCGCGCUGCUCUUCCAGCCCAUGCUCAUGCUCGGGAUCACCAUCGGCGUCGAGCUCAGCGUCGUCUUCCCCUACUGGCUCAUCACCGUCCUCAUCAUCAUCCUCUUCGUAGGUACUUCCUCGCGGUCAUUCUACAAAGGCAUCCUCAUGUGGAAGGAGGAGACAAGGAUCCUGAUGGAGACACAGGAGCGAGAAGCCCAGUCCAAGUCAUCUAGUGCCACCAGCGAUGUGGUUCUUGACGCGAGUUAUGCAGAGCCUCUCCUGCCUCAAUCUAAGCCCGCUGAGAAGUCUGGCUUGGAGACUUUGAUGUUCAAUUUGAGGUGGAAGCACAUCCUAGUGCUACUGGCUGUUUGGUCAUCUUUCCUGGUGCUGCAAAUCCUUAAGAAUAACUCCAAAACAUGCAGUACUUUCUACUGGGUGAUCAAUAUUCUGCAGGUCCCAGCUGCAGUAGGUGUUUUCGUGUGGAAAGCGGUUCAGCUGUGCAGGGAGAGCCGUGCUAGACGCAUGAAUGGUAACCUGGAGUGUGUCUGUGAGGCCAAUAUCGAGUGGUCACCAACACAGCUCAUCUUCUGCGCCUUCUGCGGCCUCCUCGGCGGUACAGUCGGUGGUCUUCUCGGGUCUGGAGGGGGUUUCAUCCUCGGCCCACUACUUCUUGAGCUAGGGUGCAUCCCUCAGGUUGCAAGUGCAACAGCAACAUUUGUCAUGAUGUUCUCCUCGUCUCUCUCCGUGGUCGAGUUCUACUUUCUGGGCAGGUUCCCAAUUCCUUAUGCUCUCUACUUGAUCUUCAUUUCCAUAUUGGCUGGAUUCUGGGGCCAGUGCUUGGUCCGGAAGAUCGUGCAUGUGCUCAAGAGAGCGUCGCUGAUCGUCUUCAUCCUCUCCUCCGUCAUCUUCGCCAGUGCUCUUACCAUGGGUGUUGUUGGGACCGAGAAGAGCAUCUCGAUGAUCAACAAGCACGAAUACAUGGGGUUCCUCAGCUUCUGCUGA
Molecule: ribosomal RNA, 1422 nt
Filed under: Triticum aestivum (bread wheat)
Lineage: Eukaryota; Viridiplantae; Streptophyta; Magnoliopsida; Poales; Poaceae
Description: partial small subunit ribosomal RNA
Source: RNAcentral